GACGAACGCUGGCGGCGUGCUUAACACAUGCAAGUCGAACGGAAAGGCCCUGCUUUUGUGGGGUGCUCGAGUGGCGAACGGGUGAGUAACACGUGAGUAACCUGCCCUUGACUUUGGGAUAACUUCAGGAAACUGGGGCUAAUACCGGAUAGGAGCUCCUGCUGCAUGGUGGGGGUUGGAAAGUUUCGGCGGUUGGGGAUGGACUCGCGGCUUAUCAGCUUGUUGGGGGGGUAGUGGCUUACCAAGGCAUUGACGGGUAGCCGGCCUGAGAGGAUGACCGGUCACACCGGAACUGAGACACGGUCCAGACUCAUACGGGAGGCAGCAGUGGGGAAUAUUGGACAAUGGGCGAAAGCCUGAUGGAGCCACGCCGCGUGAGUGACGAAGGGCUUCGGAUCGUAAAACUCUGUUAGUAGGGAAGAAGAGAAGGGUGAGUAAACAUGCAUGUCUUGACGGUACCAAAAGAGAAAGCAACGGCUAACUACGUG
This 488-nucleotide ribosomal RNA is filed under the name uncultured bacterium. Its description in RNAcentral is "partial 16S ribosomal RNA". It matches the Rfam family "Bacterial small subunit ribosomal RNA", at positions 28 to 507 of the family's 1533-position model. The record is from RNAcentral.